GACGAACGCGGCGGCGUGCUUAACACAUGCAAGUCGAACGGAAAGAGAUGAAAGAGCUUGCUCUUUUAUUAAUUUCAGUGGCAAACGGGUGAGUAACACGUAAACAACCUGCCUUAAGGAUGGGGAUAACAGACGGAAACGACUGCUAAUACCGAAUACGUUCUAAGCAUCGCAUGGUGCAUAGAAGAAAGGGUGGCCUCUACAAGAAAGCUAUCGCCUUAAGAGGGGUUUGCGACUGAUUAGGUAGUUGGUGAGGUAACGGCUCACCAAGCCGACGAUCAGUAGCCGGUCUGAGAGGAUGAACGGCCACACUGGAACUGAGACACGGUCCAGACUCCUACGGGAGGCAGCAGUGGGGAAUCUUCCGCAAUGGACGAAAGUCUGACGGAGCAACGCCGCGUGAACGAAGAAGGUCUUCGGAUUGUAAAGUUCUGUGAUUCGGGACGAAAGGGUUUGUGGUGAAUAAUCAUAGACAUUGACGGUACCGAAAAAGC
Molecule: ribosomal RNA, 494 nt
Filed under: Dialister pneumosintes
Lineage: Bacteria; Bacillati; Bacillota; Negativicutes; Veillonellales; Veillonellaceae
Description: bacterial SSU rRNA
Rfam family: Bacterial small subunit ribosomal RNA
Source: RNAcentral